UCUCUGGUUUUUAUUUGGUAUUGUUUUUAACCUUCAUGCAAUAAUAUUUAUUCUUAACUGGACAAGCCAGUACUCAUCAUCAAACACAGGAAUGGCAGAUUGGUUCUGGAGGACUCUCACAUAUUGCCCUCCACAUUUCAAGAAAGGGUUUUUUCUCUUCAAUGCGCUUGUAAUACUCUACAAAAUCUGGCGCCGAACUUCUCGGAAGGAAAUUAAAAGCUGCCCAAAACCUCAGGACGCUGAAACUGACACCUUGAAUAUUCGCAAGGCUUUAUUCUUUCGGAAUGAGGGAACAGCUUGUUUUGGUCAUGUAUAUGGUGAGCCAUGUGAAUUUGGCAGAUACUGUCCAGCCUACGGCUUAAGAGAGAUAAUCGACUUCAUCAAGUCUGCUUCUGUGUCGAUAGACAUUUGCGUUCUUCAUUUAACCAUGGAUCUUAUUGAAAAAGCCAUAUUGGCUGCUUUUGAAGGAGGGGUGGAAGUUCGAAUCAUUACAGAUCCUGAAUUUUUCAGCGAGAAAUCUCGGAUUCCUGACUUGAGAAUGAUGGGUAUUCCAGUCAAAAUCAAGACGAAUUCUGAUUUCUCAAUGCAUAACAAAUUUGCAGUCAUAGACAAAACGUUUUACUGA
Molecule: long non-coding RNA, 625 nt
Filed under: Bemisia tabaci
Lineage: Eukaryota; Metazoa; Arthropoda; Insecta; Hemiptera; Aleyrodidae
Description: lncRNA ENSSSA2NGG009795
Source: RNAcentral